AGCCAUUAGAUGAUAUUACAUGGUUUUACCUGCCCAAUGUUAUACAUGAAUGGCCGCGGUACUCUGACCGUGCUAAGGUAGCGUAAUCAGUUGACCUUUAAAUGAGGUCAGGAAUGAAUGGAAUAACCGGGUUUAGCUGUCUCUGUGUCACUAUAUUGAAUUUACUAUCUAAGUGAAAAAGCUUAGGGUUAAAAAAGGGAGGAGAAGACCCUUAGAAUUUUUUUUUAAAAGGAAAUAAAAUUUUCUUACAAUUUUAUUGGGGCGAUAAAGAAAUAAUUAAAACUUUCUUCUAUUACAAGCCGAUUAUAUUAAGUGAGAAUAAAUUACCUGAGGGAUAACAGCAUAAUUCUAUAAAUGAGUUUGUGACCUCGAUGUUGGACUAGGAAACUAGCAGGCUAGCCGUUUGCUGUGUUAGGUUCUGUUCGAACUUUUAUUCCU
This 438-nucleotide ribosomal RNA is filed under the name Spurilla braziliana. Its description in RNAcentral is "partial 16S ribosomal RNA". It matches the Rfam family "Bacterial large subunit ribosomal RNA", at positions 1829 to 2597 of the family's 2925-position model. The record is from RNAcentral. Lineage: Eukaryota; Metazoa; Mollusca; Gastropoda; Nudibranchia; Aeolidiidae.